Trichomycterus rosablanca is the source of this 519-nucleotide long non-coding RNA. RefSeq lists it as uncharacterized. The record is from RefSeq and is a predicted model, not a curated record. The transcript has 2 exons. Lineage: Eukaryota; Metazoa; Chordata; Actinopteri; Siluriformes; Trichomycteridae.
AUCGGUCUUCACAGAUAGCGCUUCAGGUUUAUGGACGGCGUGUGAUUUACGGCCUCCGAACCUUUCGCACAUUCUCACAUGGAACCUGGAUCUGAAGAAUUCUGUUCAUGCUCCAAAGCGUCUGCAAGCAAUCACAAGCGCAGUGAUUGAUGGGCCAGAACAAAACAAUUCCCGUUGAUUGUCAUGUUGAAUUACAGGACAGGAAAAGAAAUAGAGACCGAGAGAGAGAGCGAGAGAGAGAGAGAGGUGCGGGAGAUGAGAAUGGAUCCGUGGUCACAUGGUUUAGUUCAGGUUGGGAUGGGAUACGCUUGGUUUGCAUGAAUCUUUCUGAUUUAUAUGAUGAACGUGUUAUUUCGCUGAUAUUCUCUGUAGGUUUGGAUUUUAUCUCUCUUGAUUUACACUGCACACUUCAACGCCAGCGCUGGAUACGCUCUCUUGCCCGCUACGUGUUGGGGUGGAUUAAGUUCUUGGGUUGGCGGUGCAGGUUUAAGCGUAAAUAAACUUCGGAUUUCCCACAAA